UUCUAUAUCGGUUUUAAAAUUGUUAACCACUCUUUCCUUCAAACUUUUUCUUCAUUUGCAUUUCAUGACCUCACUUUCACUUAAUUCUUAUACCUUUUUGUCCCCUGUUCAGUCUUUUUCCUAGGCAUCUCAUCUUUUCUGCUUCUAGAAGAGGCUUAGAGAUAUCUAGCUUGCCAAAUUAAAUAAAUUCUUCCCCCAUGGCUAUUGGAAUCAUCUCAAAGAUCCCUAUGUGUUAGGCAAAUUUGAUGCUGUGGUAGUGAUUUUGUGGUUAGGAUAAAUAUAUAAUGAAAACUGGAUCAUGACUACUUAUUUUCCAUAGACUUCUAAAGUGUCUAAAGAUGUAGAUAAUUUUUAGUAUCAGCUUAUAUGAAUUCAGUUUAAGCCUCAUCUAAAGGUAUGAAAAGCCACAAUAGCAGAAAUAUAAACAACAAAAACUCCAUUAUUAAACAUUUCCUGAAUGCUAAUUGUGUAAUUGUCAAGUACCAGGGUCACUUGAACAUCUUGUCCUCAUCUGGUACUACUAGACCACAAGAAUUUUCUCCCUCUCUCUCUAAGGCAGGUACCAGGUAGUAAGAACCACUCCUUAUUUCUACUAAACUAUGAGAUUUUUCAUCACACUGUGGGCUCCCUGCAGAUAGAGAUGAUGUCUUAGUCAUCUGUGUCCUCUGUGCCAAGCAGACCACUUGACAUGAACCUACUAACGAUGUGAAGUCCAUCAUGGGGACAGCAAACCAUACCUGCACAUAUAAAGGCAUCUAUACCAGCAAGUAAGGCUACCUAUUUCCAUUUAUCAAAUCGAUUCAUCUAAUACAUACUGAAUAAAAGAGGGGCCAACAUCAACAAAAUUCUUGCCCAGUUGGAGCCUACAUUCUAAUGGAGGAUACAGACAAUAAAUAAACAAUGCAGUUUCAUACAAUGGUAACUUUUCUUGGUAAAAGCAAAUACUGGCUGAUUUUGGAAAAGUUUUUGGAAAGGUUAACCAACUGUCUCUGUGUAAACCCAACUUCCAAGUUCAUGUAUCCUUUACUACUGUAAGAUGUUUUUCCUGAGGUAUUCAAGUAAAACCUGCAGGGGUUUCUUAAGACCUGGCAUUUCAUCUGUUCCAUACCAGUUUUCUCAAAUUUUGUGGGAUAAUCACUUUACAGCCUCUGUGCCUAUGAUCCACCUCUAGCCUUAAUGCCAUGUUCUGGCCAACAUCCCAGAAUAACCCACGACUAUUGAGUCUCGAGUUGACUCCAGAAUCUUUGUAUGAGAGUAUUUUAGGGAUGGUAGUUUCAUUAAAGUGUGGUUAGGAGACUUGUCUUAAAGCUCUGUUUGAAUAGCAAGAACACUGCCUAGAGUAAUGCUUGGGAGGUAAGUACCUGGUAGGUACUCAACAGGUAUUUUUAAAUAAAUUAAUGAUUAUUUUUAUCAUUGCCAUAAAAUCGUGAUUGAGAAACUUAAGCCUACUGUUGGAUGUUCAAAAAAAAAGGUUGGAUAGUCAGGAAAACUAGAUGAGAAGCACUCAUCAUAGCAUUUUUCUUGAUGUACUUUUCUUCUUUCUAGAUAUACCACAUAUCAAAGAAGCCCCACAACCAAACUUACAUUGGCUAAGAAGAUUGGGAUAUCACUAUGACAACAUUUCCAGGAGAAGAAAGGGUUAUGAUACAGAGGAAAUCUGGUUUCAGAACAAUGGGGGAACUAAUAAUAUAGAAGACUGGUUAAAAGUAUGGGUUCUGGAGUCAGACAAGUCUGAGUUUUAAUCCUGCCUGCCACUUGUUAGCUGGGUAACCCUGGACUACCAGCCAGUUGCUCUAAUUUGCAAUUUCAGCAACUACAAAAUAAGGAAUGUAAUGUCUUCCUCAUAGCAUAUAGAUGAAAUGAACUAAUAAGGUAAAGCAUCUGCACAGUGCCUGCUGCCAAAGUGUUCAAUAAAUGCUAGUAGUUAAUAUUAUCAAACGGAUGUUAUUAUAUAUUCCCAUAUAUUCUAUAAUGGAAAUACAGAGAUUUUAAGUUUUAAUGGCAUUUAAGAUUACAGUAUGGUUAUAGUGUACUAAAGAAUACUUUUUACGAUGAGAACAAAUUGCCACAUGAUUUACUUCCUAUUUUUACUUUUGGUUUCCACUGAUGAAUUAUUAUACAUUUCUGCAAAUUUCAAGUAUUACUGCCUAAGCCUUUUAUUUAUAAAAAGUAUUAAUUUAUUUAUUAAUACAUAUAUAUAAUUUUGGAUAAUGCAUAAAUAUGAACACCUACAUCUUUAGUAGUGACUAUUUUUAAAAAUCUCAUAUCUCUUCUCCCACUUUGGUUUCUUUUAUACCCCAUUUCCUUGAUAACCCAUGUUAACAGCCUAAUAUGUAUCCAUCCAUUUUCUAAUUUAUUUUGUUGGUUUGUUUUUUACUUUAGAGAGAUAGAAAGAGAGAGAGAGAGCACCAGUGGGGGACAGGGGCAGAGGGAGAGAGAGAGAAUCUUCAACAGGCUCCACAAACUGCAAUGCCCAACACGGGGCUCAGUCCCACAACCCUUGGAUGAUAACCUGAGAUGAAAUCAAGAGUUGGACACUCGACCAAGAGAACCAGCCAGGUGCUCCACUCUUCAUUUAUAAUUCUAUGGAGACUUAUUCAUAAUAUAUUUAUAUACAUAUAAAAAUACGGGGUUAUUUUGAUCAUCAACUUUAAAAAUGGGACCAUAUUCUCAAGCGUGUUACUUUUCUCACCCAACAAUAUCCAGAGGAAAGAUCUUCAAUUCAUUUGAGUUUAAUAGUACAAUAUUCCAUAAUUUAGAUGUAACAUUAUCUAUGUAGCAUUUCCUCAAUUAUUGAGCGUUCCUUUUGUUUCCAUUUUUUGGCACUACAAAUUAGGCUACAAUAAACAUCCUUAUAUGUCUUUA
Long non-coding RNA from Herpailurus yagouaroundi (jaguarundi), 2865 nucleotides. RefSeq lists it as uncharacterized. The record is from RefSeq and is a predicted model, not a curated record. Lineage: Eukaryota; Metazoa; Chordata; Mammalia; Carnivora; Felidae. The transcript is spliced from 2 exons.